UCGGGAAUUUUGGGCAAUGGGCGAAAGCCUGACCCAGCAACGCCGCGUGAGGGAUGAAGGCCCUCGGGUCGUAAACCUCUGUCGGGAGGGAAGAAUGGGCCGCAGUCAAAUAGGCUGCGGUCUUGACGGUACCUCCAAAGGAAGUGCCGGCUAACUCCGUGCCAGCAGCCGCGGUAAUACGGAGGGCACAAGCGUUGUUCGGAAUCAUUGGGCGUAAAGCGGGUGUAGGCGGCUUGGCAAGUCGAGUGUGAAAUCCCAGGGCCCAACCCUGGAACUGCAUUCGAAACUGUCUCGCUAGAGUCCCGGAGAGGAUGGCGGAAUUCCCGGUGUAGGGGUGAAAUCCGUAGAUAUCGGGAGGAACACCAGUGGCGAAGGCGGCCAUCUGGACGGUGACUGACGCUCAGACCCGAAAGCGUGGGGAGCAAACAGG
Molecule: ribosomal RNA, 430 nt
Filed under: uncultured bacterium
Lineage: Bacteria
Description: bacterial SSU rRNA
Rfam family: Bacterial small subunit ribosomal RNA
Source: RNAcentral